RNAcentral lists this long non-coding RNA (636 nucleotides) under Ananas comosus (pineapple). RNAcentral describes it as "long non-coding RNA (ACOM_LNC003777)". Lineage: Eukaryota; Viridiplantae; Streptophyta; Magnoliopsida; Poales; Bromeliaceae. The record is from RNAcentral.
UUAUAAUAUUUUUGUUUAAUUUUAUUUCGAAAUUUUUCUAUAGCUGAAAUUGAAUUUUCGAGUUGUUUUAAAGAGUAUUGUAAUAAAUGAUCAGAAAGAUUUUUCCAACAAGUGUCACUGCCGCCACCCACUAGAAGAAAAAACGGUCGUAGAUGCGAUUGUAUAGAGGCGGUUUCUACAACCGCUUCUAUACUGUUAUGUUAAGACAAUUUAGAAGCGGUUUUUAAAAACUGCCUCUAAAUCUGACAUAGAAAACCAAAAAAAAAGAAAAAACUCACAACCCUAAUCCUCGUUAUCUUUUCCCUAGUCCUCAUUGCUCUCGUUUCGUCCUAAGAGCUGCCGCCCGAAAUCCUACUCUGAAUCUACCCCGUUUUCCUCUCUUCCCGGCCCGCCUCCACCCUCCACAACGGUCGGUGCCAUACUCUCUCUUUGAACCCACCCCCGACUCUCCCAUUUCCCUUCACGACAUGAAUGCUGCUAUUUUCGUUCACCCUCUCUUGGAUAAAAUCUAAUCGGAGUGAAGAGAAGAUGCAAUCCCGCUAGUUUGUUGUUCGUCGUCUAACUCGCAACUCUCUUUCCACGAUCAAGAUGAGCAGCAACAGCAGCCGAAGAAGAAGGCUUUGCAAAAAGAGUCAU